RNAcentral lists this ribosomal RNA (404 nucleotides) under Actinomycetes bacterium. RNAcentral describes it as "Actinobacteria bacterium partial 16S ribosomal RNA". It matches the Rfam family "Bacterial small subunit ribosomal RNA", at positions 355 to 776 of the family's 1533-position model. Lineage: Bacteria; Bacillati; Actinomycetota; Actinomycetes. The record is from RNAcentral.
UGGGGAAUAUUGGACAAUGGGCGCAAGCCUGAUCCAGCCAUGCCGCGUGAGUGAUGAAGGCCCUAGGGUUGUAAAGCUCUUUCACCGGUGAAGAUAAUGACGGUAACCGGAGAAGAAGCCCCGGCUAACUUCGUGCCAGCAGCCGCGGUAAUACGAAGGGGGCUAGCGUUGUUCGGAUUUACUGGGCGUAAAGCGCACGUAGGCGGACUAUUAAGUCAGGGGUGAAAUCCCGGGGCUCAACCCCGGAACUGCCUUUGAUACUGGUAGUCUUGAGUUCGAGAGAGGUGAGUGGAAUUCCGAGGGGAGAGGUGAAAUUCGUAGAUAUUCGGAGGAACACCAGUGGCGAAGGCGGCUCACUGGCUCGAUACUGACGCUGAGGUGCGAAAGCGUGGGGAGCAAACAGG